Python bivittatus (Burmese python) is the source of this 1157-nucleotide long non-coding RNA. RefSeq lists it as uncharacterized. The record is from RefSeq and is a predicted model, not a curated record. Lineage: Eukaryota; Metazoa; Chordata; Lepidosauria; Squamata; Pythonidae.
UGGAGGGCCGAGGCCACGCUGCGCUCGUUCUCCGCCUCUGGCGGUCGGAAGUGCGGAGAAGGAUCCCUGAGGAGCCUCUCGGAAUGAGCUCCGACAGCCAAGCCUUGGCAGAAGCUGAAUUGGAUCCUACGCAGACUCAGGAGGAGCCCAUCCAGGAAAAUGCCGGUUGCAGCCCAGAGUCGCUGCCAGCCCCGGCUCCCAAGGAAGCCAGUAGCCCCAAGAGCUACUGCCAGGCCUGGCUCCUGGCCCCGCUGGAGGAUGCGAGAUACCUCAUCUGCUGCACCAACUGGUACUAGCAGCUCUUUCUGGGCCCCCUAGGCAGCACAGCUCACCUGACUGCCUCAGAAAGGCACCAGCAUCCAUCUUGAGGCUGAAGAGACGCAUCUCUCCCUAGAUGUGCAGUUGUUAUUAAAACACUGGGGAGUGUAACGAUCUGGCUUUACCUGCCAUAGGCUAUGUUUGCACUAUCUGCUUGUUCAUGGUUAGCUUAAUCAUGAUUUCUCAUAUUAAUUCCCAGCCACAUUCUCACGGUGGAUGGUAUUGGUAUUCAAGCUGUUUUUUUUUUGAGAUGUAAGGGCUGUGAUUGCCCAUGGUUCCUGAAAUCAGGUGGAGAAUCCCUGUUGCUUUAACUCUCUGUUCAACUCUAUGUUAAGUUUGGUGCACUUAAGCAUGGUUAACAACUGAGUAACAGAAAGCCCAACUUCCUGGGUUUACACAUCAUACUAUGUGGACUGUAAACUCUGGCUGGGUUUACACAACACGCUAAAUAAAAAUGUGGUCUUGUAAACAUAGCCAUAGAUAGGCUAAGAAGUGUAAAAAUGUGAUAGAGCAAAUAUAUAAUGCACAUCUGCUCCAACAUUGGAGUGGCAGACCUAUCUGAAGACUUUUUGUCCUGAAAAAGGACUGAUAGAGAAUAAAUGCAAGAGGAUUCUCAUUCUCUUCUGUCCUUUGUGGCAGAAUCUGAAUUCAGUUCUAAAUAUGCUCUCAGCUUUAUCCGGGACACUUUGAAGAAUUUGAGCCUUGCAUAAAAAGACUUUGCUGCAUAUUUAUAACUGAGUGGACAAUGAUGAGAAGAACUUAGAACUUUAUUAUCAUUGUUGUAAAGUUAACUAAUGACUGUCAUAAAAUAUUAAAAAGAUGAUAAACAUAUGCCACCA